Molecule: non-coding RNA, 2528 nt
Organism: Salmo salar (Atlantic salmon)
Lineage: Eukaryota; Metazoa; Chordata; Actinopteri; Salmoniformes; Salmonidae
Source: RefSeq, a predicted model, not a curated record
GGUGUUACAGUGAACCCGUAUAUACGAAGAUUGCAUUUACCAUUUAUUCUGCUUGACUAAUUCUAUUAAUAAACAGCUGAAAAUAUAUUCAGUAGCCUAGUGUUAAAUUUUGUUCUGAUACCAGAAUUGAAUUGACGCAGCCCUAACAAUUGGUGACCCCGAAUGUGAUUCUGGUAGAAGGACUUCGCUGGAACUUGUCCGGCCGAUUGGCCAUCGCUCUCGUCGGACGGUGUGUUUCACAAAUCCUGACCGGUCAAACAAAAGGUAAGCAGACACCUAUUGUGAAUAACUAAAGUUCUGCAUAUUGGCAUUAUCCAAAUUUAUUUUGUGAAGCACCUGUUUGAUGUAAGUGAUUAAAUUGUGGAACGUCCACCUGUUACAUUAAUAAUUUGAUUUUGAAACAAUUUUGAGAGUUGUGGUGUGAUAAAUGCAAUCUUGAAACCGAUCGAUCGUUGAUGAUAUAACAAGUGAAUGUAAUGUACUAGGUAUUGAAGUACCAAGUGUGUAUGUGGUUAGUCGGCGUACUUAACCGGAAUGAGUGUGGAUGGAUCUAGGUAUAACAGCGAUUGUAAUGUACUAGGUAUUGAAGUACCAAGUUUGAGCGUGGCUGUCAAGUCUGGGACUGGUAGCAAGACUGAAUGAAGAUUGGGAGGUCAACCUAAUCGUAUGACUGAAGUACAUUAGAUACUAGUCGGCGUACUGUAUCAAGUGUGAAUGAUCUACGGAUGAAGGUGUUAUACUGAGUAACCAUUGAAUGACUGAAGUACAUUAGAUACUAGUCGGCGUACUGUAUCAAGUGUGAAUGAUCUACGGAUAAAGGUGUUAUACUGAGUAACCAUUGAAUGACUGAAGUACAUUAGGUACUAGUCGGCGUACUGUAUCAAGUGUGAAUGAUCUACGGAUAGAGGUGUUAUACUGAGUAAACCACUGAAUGACUGAAGUACAUUGGGUAUUAAGUCGGCGUACUAAUACCAAGUUUGAGUGACCUGUGGGUAAAUAAGAGGUCGGGGACGGUCGACCUGAGUUAUAUCAUCUAGCGCUGGGGAAAUAAAUAACGUUAGGAACGUACGUUAGAGACGUAAAUUGACAUUGAUAGUUAGGUUACCAUAGACUGAAAUUGAAAGGGAUGUAAAAUAACAUUGAUAGUUAGGUUACCAUAGACUGAAAUUGAAUAUGACCAACCAGGAGACCGAGAGGGUGCUGAAAGCACUGAAGUUAACACUAGAGAUUAAUGGGGGUAGAGACGGGAAAGAGUGGAAAAGGAGGGGGAAAAUUAUACAGGGAAUGGAUAAGAGAAGGUAGUAUUAAUGCACCCAACAGACUCCCAGUCGACGGGGAGCACGGUAGAAUAUUGGAAACGCUAAAACGAAAAACAGACAAAACCUGUUCCGAGUGGAAGCAGGAGGGGGAAGCGUGUAAAGGAAUUGCAGGAAUUUACGGGAGUUGAGCGAUACAUGGAGUUAAUUUUAUUUUACAGGGACGAUGCACAUUAAACACAGUUAUGUAUAAUGGCAGGGUAUUCCUAGCAAACAGAAUGGGCCUGUUUGCAGACAAACUGAAGGGGUUUUAAGGUUUUAAGCAAUCGUGGGUCAAAUUAGUCAAAUAGUACGUUAAAAUAUGGGGUUUCAUAGAUUGGAAGUAAAAUAUAUAAUCCAAGGGUAGUGUAUGUUCAAUUAAAGUACACAGAACCAUCGAGGAAGUUUAAAACAAAUGAUAAUGAUUUGAGGAAGUACAGUGGAGUUAUUAUUAGGUUUUGUUUGUAGUUAACUUUUGGGGUUUUGAAUCGGUGUAGUAGGAUGAAAUACUGACCAAGUGGUUGUAUUUUCUGGAAAAAGGAGCGUUUCAAAUUCCUAGGGACAGGAGAUCUUAAAGGGGUAUACACACAUAUGGAAUCUUAGAAGUUAUACACCCAUGGAAUCGUUGAGGUUUUGUUUUCUGAGUUUUAAUUAAAAACGUGAAAUUCUUUUGAUAGGGAAUGUUCUGGGAACCUGGGAUACAAAAUGUAGAUAAAGUUCUUUGCCUUCAUUUAUCUAAAGUAGUAAGAAACACGGUUCUGAAAGGGUGGUAUGACUUUUGACCCCUCUGGUGACUUUUCCUUUUGUGGUCUGAUCAGCCGCAAUGAAAAGCCAUUUGGAUGGUGAAUUUAAGGUCAUUUGUGAUACUGACUUUAAGGAAAUUUGUAGAACUGAUAAUUAUGAUGGAGUUAAAGUUCUUAGACGCAGUUGAAAAUUUGAACCAAUGAGAAGACUGAAUGACGAUAAGGGUACAAUAAUUUUUCUUUGUGGAGUAGUUCAGAUUAGUCAUUUUUGAUCUGAUUAUGUUAUUUGAACUCCUAUAAUGAUUUGUUUAGAUAUGCAGCAAUAUUGAUACAUGGCUUGAGCCAUGUAUAAAUAGGGGGAGUAUGGUAGGGCAGGCGAUAGAACAGGUUAGGAUAAUUACUUAACAACAUUUUUGUAGAAUAUCCUUUCCAACAUUUGGAAAUGGACUUAUUGAACUAUUACGAAUUGAGGGGAAGAAGGGGUGUUUAA